ACCACAGAGGGUGAGAGUCCCGUAGACGAAAGAGAAGACUGACAGCGGGUAUCCAGAGUACCGCCGGACACGUGAAACCCGGUGGGAAGACGGGUGGACCACCAUCCAAGCCUAAAUACUACCUGAUGACCGAUAGAGGAGCAGUACCGUGAGGGAAAGGUGAAAAGAACCCCGGGAGGGGAGUGAAAGAGCACCUGAAACCUUGUGCUUACAAGCAGUCAGAGCACGUUAAAGUGUGAUGGCGUACCUUUUGUAGAAUGGUCCGGCGAGUUAUAGUAACUGGCGAGCUUAAGGUAUUCAGUACCGGAGGCGAAGGGAAACCGAGUGUUAAUAGCGCGUAUGAAGUCAGUUGCCAUAGACCUGAAACCGGGUGACCUAUCCAUGGGCAGGCUGAAGGUGAGGUAAAACUCACUGGAGGGCCGAACCGACGUCUGUUGCAAUAGCCGCGGAUGACCUGUGGAUAGCGGAGAAAUUCCAAUCGAACUCGGAGAUAGCUGGUUCUCCCCGAAAUAGCUUUAGGGCUAGCGUUGCAUUAGAUUACCGGAGGUAGAGCACUGAAUUGGCUAGGGGGCGAUGAGCUUACUGAACCUUAUCAAACUUCGAAUGCCGGAUAAUUGAUGUGCAGCAGUCAGACAGUGUGAGAUAAGUUUCAUUGUCGAGAGGGAAACAGCCCAGACCCACAGCUAAGGUCCCAAAUAUAUGCUAAGUGGAAAACGAUGUGGGGUUGCGAAAACAACCAGGACGUUGGCUUAGAGGCAGCCACUCAUUGAAAGAGUGCGUAAUAGCUCACUGGUCGAGUGACCCUGCGCGGAAAAUAUAACGGGGCUAAGCAUAUAACCGAAGCUUGGGAUGUCUUUUAGACAUGGUAGGGGAGCGUCGUAUACGGGGUGAAGUACGAGCGGAAGCACGUGUGGACUGUAUACGAGUGAGAAUGCCGGAAUGAGUAGCGAGAAUUAUGUGGGAAUCAUAAUGGCCGAAAAUCUAAGGUUUCUUGGGGAAGGUUCGUCCGCCCAAGGUAAGUCGGGAGCUAAGGCGAGGCCUGACGGCGUAGUCGAUGCACACACGGUUGAAAUUCCGUGACCACCGAAAGAUUUAAGCGAGCUGACACAUGGAGAUAGCCGGACCCCGGCGUUGGUCGACCGGGGCGAAAGGGACCGAACAUCAGUAGGGAAGCCGGCGAUGCUCUGUGGCGAGAAAAGGCUCGAGGUACAUCUGAGGUGCCCGUACCGCAAACCGACACAGGUAGAUGAGGAGAGAAUCCUAAGGCCAGCGGGAGAAGGGUUGUUAAGGAACUCGGCAAAUUGACCCCGUAACUUCGGGAAAAGGGGAGCCUGCUACGGCAGGCCGCAGAGAAUAGGCCCAAGCGACUGUUUACCAAAAACACAGGUCUCUGCUAAAUCGAAAGAUGACGUAUAGGGGCUGACGCCUGCCCGGUGCCGGAAGGUUAAGAGGAGGGCUUAGCGCAAGCGAAGGUCUGAAUUGAAGCCCCGGUAAACGGCGGCCGUAACUAUAACGGUCCUAAGGUAGCGAAAUUCCUUGUCAGGUAAGUUCUGACCCGCACGAAUGGCGUAACGAUUUGGGCACUGUCUCAACAGCCCGCCCGGCGAAAUUGUUGUACUGGUGAAGAAGCCAGUUACCCGCAACUAGACGGAAAGACCCCAUGGAGCUUUACUGCAGCUUAAUACUGAAGAUUGGUAAUGCAUGUACAGGAUAGGUGGGAGCCUGAGAAACAGGGGCGUCAGCUUCUGCGGAGGCAGCCUUGGAAUACCACCCUUGUAUUGCUGGUUUUCUAACCUGCGGCCGUGAAUCCGG
This 1812-nucleotide ribosomal RNA is filed under the name gut metagenome. RNAcentral's name for it is "bacterial LSU rRNA". It matches the Rfam family "Bacterial large subunit ribosomal RNA", at positions 354 to 2243 of the family's 2925-position model. The record is from RNAcentral.